This 73-nucleotide transfer RNA is filed under the name Bos taurus (domestic cattle). It matches the Rfam family "tRNA". From Rfam's summary of the family: Transfer RNA (tRNA) molecules are approximately 80 nucleotides in length. Their secondary structure includes four short double-helical elements and three loops (D, anti-codon, and T loops). Further hydrogen bonds mediate the characteristic L-shaped molecular structure. tRNAs have two regions of fundamental functional importance: the anti-codon, which is responsible for specific mRNA codon recognition, and the 3' end, to which the tRNAs corresponding amino acid is attached (by aminoacyl-tRNA synthetases). tRNAs cope with the degeneracy of the genetic code in two manners: having more than one tRNA (with a specific anti-codon) for a particular amino acid; and 'wobble' base-pairing, i.e. permitting non-standard base-pairing at the 3rd anti-codon position. The record is from Rfam by way of RNAcentral. RNAcentral also lists the same sequence under 2 other names. Lineage: Eukaryota; Metazoa; Chordata; Mammalia; Artiodactyla; Bovidae.
CCCCUGGUGGUCUAGUGGUUAAGACUCUGCAUUUCCACUGCAGGGGGCGAAGUUUCAAGCCCUGGUCAGGGAA